RNAcentral lists this microRNA precursor (61 nucleotides) under Lottia gigantea (owl limpet). Its description in RNAcentral is "Lgi-Mir-190-v2_pre stem-loop". It matches the Rfam family "mir-190 microRNA precursor family", at positions 11 to 69 of the family's 78-position model. Lineage: Eukaryota; Metazoa; Mollusca; Gastropoda; Lottiidae. The record is from RNAcentral.
GAUAUGUUUGAUAUAAUUGGUGGUUAAUGGUUAAAAGUCCACCAAGUAUCAAACAUGUCAC